AUUGAACGCUGGCGGCAUGCCUUACACAUGCAAGUCGAACGGCAGCGCGGGAGCAAUCCUGGUGGCGAGUGGCGAACGGGUGAGUAAUAUAUCGGAACGUGCCCGGUCGUGGGGGAUAACGUAGCGAAAGCUACGCUAAUACCGCAUACGAUCUACGGAUGAAAGCGGGGGAUCGCAAGACCUCGCGCGAUUGGAGCGGCCGAUAUCAGAUUAGGUAGUUGGUGAGGUAAAGGCUCACCAAGCCGACGAUCUGUAGCUGGUCUGAGAGGACGACCAGCCACACUGGGACUGAGACACGGCCCAGACUCCUACGGGAGGCAGCAGUGGGGAAUUUUGGACAAUGGGCGCAAGCCUGAUCCAGCAAUGCCGCGUGCAGGAUGAAGGCCUCGGUUGUAAC
RNAcentral lists this ribosomal RNA (397 nucleotides) under uncultured bacterium. RNAcentral's name for it is "bacterial SSU rRNA". It matches the Rfam family "Bacterial small subunit ribosomal RNA", at positions 30 to 429 of the family's 1533-position model. The record is from RNAcentral.